Molecule: long non-coding RNA, 295 nt
Filed under: Helianthus annuus (common sunflower)
Lineage: Eukaryota; Viridiplantae; Streptophyta; Magnoliopsida; Asterales; Asteraceae
Description: hypothetical non coding rna
Source: RNAcentral
GGUGACAUGACAGAGUCUUAAACCGAACACAAAAACUAUAUGUAAAACAUUCUGCUGUACAAAAACUCACCAUGUACAAGAGGCGUGCGUCAGGCAGCUUUUCUGUAGGUGGUUUAAUUCAAGCAUUGGUGGUCUGAUUAGCCAACGGUGCUGGGAUGAGCAGGCACGGUCGCAACGUACAGGAUCUAAGGUUUUGACUGGAGAUGAGUGGUAUAGUCAACAAGCUUCACGGGCUUUAAAUCAAGCAGUUGGAUGGGUCAUUCGUCAUCGUCAUGAUCAUGGAGCAAUCAUUUUU